Molecule: long non-coding RNA, 946 nt
Organism: Papaver somniferum (opium poppy)
Lineage: Eukaryota; Viridiplantae; Streptophyta; Magnoliopsida; Ranunculales; Papaveraceae
Exons: 2
Source: RefSeq, a predicted model, not a curated record
CUCAUUUUUUCCCCGUUUUCUUUUUUGUGUACGGUGGCCGAGCCUUGUCGCUGCUAUUGUAAUUUGCCUAUUUCUUAAUAUAUUUUCUAUUUACCGAGAAAAAAAGAAAAAAAGAGUACUCUGCAAUGCGUGUUAUGUCAUUUUAGAGACCCAUUACGUUUCUUCAACCUAACUGAUCGUUAUGCACUCCAAUAGUUACUUAUAGUUUCUCAGAUUAGUUGGAUACAUGGUGGAGCCUUGGAUUAAGAUAUGCAUGCUUACAAGAGUUAAUUGCUGUCAAUGCCACUUUCAAAAAAACUGAACAGAAAACUCGUUUCACCAAUGGACGCAUUGAAGGAAGAGACGCCCCUGUUCACUCUGAAAAGAUGCCUGUAGAGAUGAAGAGUCAUCUCCAAAGGGUGUGAUUUCCUCUUUAAAUAGGAGACUUGUUUUCAUUCAAAACACAUCUCUCAACUUUCUCUGUUUUCUUUCUUACAAGCAUCAUCAGUAUCAAAACCAGUGUGUUCUUGGUUGGAUCAAGAUCGUACAAGCUUUGAAUCCAACAACUGUUGUGGGGCUUCAAGUAUCCUGACGGCGAUAUUCAUUGACUUGUUUGUACUCGCCGAUUCAAUUGGGAAAGGGUCGAAUAAUUGUCGAAAAGAAUCUUUCAUUAGAGCCUUGAAUCCUAAUACAACAUUCUUUUCUUCACCCUGUUUUAGUGUCUAUUUUCCAACAUAUACAUGGUCUCUACUCUUAAUCUGUAAACAACUUCUGGUCUUCUACCGACACCCUAGGUUGAUUUAUAAGAAGAAAUUUAGUGAUUUACUAAAAUACGCUUGAACUAGUUCAAAUGUUGUAGCCCAAUGCACAGGCCCGGUCGCCAGGUUGUUGCAAUUUCUACAGUUGUGUACAGUUUGAUGACUACUUUGUCAUUUUAAAGUGCAUAAAUAAAUACUGCAUCCUCAUA